GGCUCGUUAUCCUCCUCUGUCUGUCUGAUAUUCAGCCACAGUGUCUCAUCGCGUACACGCGCCUUUCUCUAUAAAGAUGGAGGAUAGAUGGUGGAUUUGGCUCUCACGUGGACCAGAACUUCGAGAUAUAUCCCCUGCGGAAAAUGGAGCAGUGAUGACAUCUUGCACUACACAGAUUUAUGUCCAAUCAGAUGCUCUCUUGAAGGAGAAUGUCCUGCCCCCUUAUGCCGCAUACAACUGACUAGUAAGUAGUAAAUCAUGGCAGUUACGUGGCUAUUUAAAAAAAUUUAAAAAACAGAUUAUCUA
RNAcentral lists this long non-coding RNA (306 nucleotides) under Sinocyclocheilus anshuiensis. RNAcentral's name for it is "lncRNA (ENSSANG00000020451.1)". Lineage: Eukaryota; Metazoa; Chordata; Actinopteri; Cypriniformes; Cyprinidae. The record is from RNAcentral.